RNAcentral lists this non-coding RNA (27 nucleotides) under Homo sapiens (human). Lineage: Eukaryota; Metazoa; Chordata; Mammalia; Primates; Hominidae. The record is from RNAcentral.
UGAGCAAAUCUUCCAAUGGCUGGUGUC